Molecule: ribosomal RNA, 185 nt
Filed under: Schinkia azotoformans MEV2011
Lineage: Bacteria; Bacillati; Bacillota; Bacilli; Caryophanales; Bacillaceae
Description: Bacillus azotoformans MEV2011 partial 16S ribosomal RNA
Rfam family: Bacterial small subunit ribosomal RNA
Source: RNAcentral
CUAAGCCGCGAGGCCUGAGCCAAUCCCAUAAAGCCAUUCUCAGUUCGGAUUGUAGGCUGCAACUCGCCUACAUGAAGCCGGAAUCGCUAGUAAUCGCGGAUCAGCAUGCCGCGGUGAAUACGUUCCCGGGCCUUGUACACACCGCCCGUCACACCACGAGAGUUUGUAACACCCGAAGUCGGUGG